UGGGGAAUAUUGGACAAUGGGCGAAAGCCUGAUCCAGCAAUGCCGCGUGAGUGAUGAAGGCCUUAGGGUUGUAAAGCUCUUUUACCAGGGAUGAUAAUGACAGUACCUGGAGAAUAAGCUCCGGCUAACUCCGUGCCAGCAGCCGCGGUAAUACGGAGGGAGCUAGCGUUGUUCGGAAUUACUGGGCGUAAAGCGCACGUAGGCGGCCAUUCAAGUCAGAGGUGAAAGCCCGGGGCUCAACCCCGGAACUGCCUUUGAAACUAGAUGGCUUGAAUCUUGGAGAGGCGAGUGGAAUUCCGAGUGUAGAGGUGAAAUUCGUAGAUAUUCGGAAGAACACCAGUGGCGAAGGCGACUCGCUGGACAAGUAUUGACGCUGAGGUGCGAAAGCGUGGGGAGCAAAACAGGAUUAGAUACCCUGGUAGUCCACGCCGUAAAACGAUGAUAACUAGCUGUCCGGGUUCAUGGAACUUGGGUGGCGCAGCUAACGCAUUAAGUUAUCCGCCUGGGGAGUACGGUCGCAAGAUUAAAACUCAAAGGAAUUGACGGGGUCAUAGCUGUUUCCU
This 563-nucleotide ribosomal RNA is filed under the name uncultured bacterium. Its description in RNAcentral is "partial 16S ribosomal RNA". It matches the Rfam family "Bacterial small subunit ribosomal RNA", at positions 355 to 1375 of the family's 1533-position model. The record is from RNAcentral.